Prunus mume (Japanese apricot) is the source of this 1561-nucleotide long non-coding RNA. RefSeq lists it as uncharacterized. The record is from RefSeq and is a predicted model, not a curated record. Lineage: Eukaryota; Viridiplantae; Streptophyta; Magnoliopsida; Rosales; Rosaceae.
GUGGACACAUCUUCUACCAAAGCAGAACGUGAACUUUUGAAAAGGUUCCCAGUUUGCUUGAUGCAGUUUACCUAAUUCUUUGCUGAUGAUAUAUCUCUUUAUUGUCUAUUAACUUUGCAUUUUUUUUUAGAUACUUCUAUAAUAUAUUAGGUAUUAUAUUCUUUAGAUUAUAACUUAUGCAAAUUAAGUACCAUUUCCUUGUAUUCUUUUAAUUCAGAAAGCCCAGAAAAUCGAAGUUUCCGGUAUCUUCUUUGAUCUUAUAGAAAAUUGUAGUGUUUAUAUGAUCCGUACCAUCUGUUUAUUUGAGACUCUUUAUCCGUGAGUACCUUGUGCAUUACUUGAAUUUAAAUGGCUUUAAAGUUCAUACAAACUAUUUGGCAUGCAUUUGUUUCAUUAAGCUACAGUUUGGACUUCAAAACUGGACCAUUUAUAGUUGUUUGUGUUUAUGUUUGAUUUAUGUACGCCAAUGGUAUAAUGUUCUUUUAUUUAAAACAAUAAUCUGGAAGACUUAAUUUAAGUUUCUGAUCUUUGAAAUUAUCACAUUUGAAAGUGAAAACAAUAAAAGUGGACCGUUGGCUGCGAGAGGUAAUUUGCAUAACUAGAGAGAAGUCAAAGGAAAAAUAAAUAAACAAAUCAUUGUACAAAGAAAAUAGAGAAAUCUCUAAAUGCAAUACAUUCGAAGUCUUACAUUUGUAAGUAGAACCUUUUUUCCCUGUUGAUAACAUGGAGAUAUGGUUGUGGAAGGUAAGUUAUCCAAACUACUUUGUGAUGUCUAACACAGGACGCAUGUAAACUACUGUGACUAUGAACUUUACAAUUGAUUUAGGAUUUGUGUGAGUGAUUAAAACAAUUUGUAGUUAUCUCAUUAUAUAAGUAUCCUGGUGAAUUGAAUAGAACUAGUAGCACUAUGUACUGUUCAAGGAAUAAAGCAAUUUGUAGUGUUAUCUCAUCAAUGAAUUGUUUGGAAAUUGUCAAGGAAUUUCACAUGUUAUUAGUUGAUGAUAAAUAGACUGGAUAAGGUCAACAGUGCUCCGUGGCAAAAGAGCCUGUCAAUUGACAAACACUGGUGUGGCUAAAGUGAUUGCAGGCUUUGCAGCUCAGACAAAAGGAUCAGUUCAAAUUGGCUAAGUAUUUGCCCUACAUAAUAUAAUUUUUUGACAAGAUGUUUACGGAUUGCGUAAUGACAGAGGAGGCUGACAAAAGUUUCACUUGGGAUACUAUUUAAUGCAACAAUCUACUGUGUAGAUUCUUUUAAAUGGACUAGAUCUUCCUUUUAGCAUUAGAAAUUUUGGAUUCUUCAAGGAAUUCUCAAGGAAGGCCAGUUUAACUUUCUCUUGCAGUGAUAUCCAUGAACACGGUAUCUUCGACACCAGGUCUUCCUUUUGGAAAUUGCUCUGGAAUGGUUGUUAGAGUUGAGACUAGAAAAAUGCUGUUGCAGAUCUUCAGUCCUUUUCUGUCUCAUUCUUCUUGUAAUAUUGAAUUGUGAGAUAUAUGAAUCAAUGUGUUGAGCAAUAUAUAUUUUUUAUUUGGAUAAUGAGAGCUUGCAAUUGUUGAUUGGAAA